This is a long non-coding RNA of Camelus dromedarius (Arabian camel), 1241 nucleotides long. RefSeq lists it as uncharacterized. The transcript is spliced from 3 exons. Lineage: Eukaryota; Metazoa; Chordata; Mammalia; Artiodactyla; Camelidae. The record is from RefSeq and is a predicted model, not a curated record.
GGCUCGGCGCAGUCUACGGGCGACAGGGCGCUGACGAGGUGGCGAAGGCGGCGGGUGCGGGGGCGCGGGAACCCCGGCCAAGCCCAGGGACCAGAGGGCGUUCCCUCCCAGCGCCCGGAACCGGGUAACUUCCCGCUGCCCGGGACGGAGUUUCUCUGCUGCCCACGGACAUGAGGCGGCGUAGAGGGCAAGUGGGAUAACCCCACUUGCACCUCACCUUUAUCCAGGGGAGCCAGGGGAGCCAGGGAAGCCUGAGGAGCCAGCAGGUCCGGACUCGCUGAGGGAGAUCCACGCGGGGCCUACCACGCACAGGACCCGGAUGCCUCUUCGGCUCAUUCAGGAAAAGCACAAGACAAACCAUCCCAUCCUGAGCCCUGCAUGGACUGCAGGCCGAAGCCGUCUGUUGUGCAGACUUGCGAUGUUGACUCAGCCACGACUUCCUCCUCUCUUCAGCACCUGUGGCUUCCAGGGGGGUCCUCCAGGUAAGGCAGGUAAGACCCAGGCCAGCUCAGGGAGUUCUGGAAAGCUCGGCCGACUCCCCCCAUCAUGGGAGCAGGAGGACACUGAGAUGUGGGGGUUUAGUUGCCACCAACGUGAAGUGGCCCAUUUGACACAGGCAGAGGAGGUUUAUCAGGCAAAGCCUGCUGACGCUUGAUUCCUGACUUCACCAUAACAAUCUCAUCUGCUGAAACAAAGGGCAUUGUCAGAACAGACCAGAGGUAUCUGGCCUCAGAAGUCUCACCCAGCAACAUCUCCUUGGGGAUCUUGGUGUUUUGUGUGACUCUGGGAGAGUUCCCACAGGGACCUGGGUGCACUGAUGCUGCAGUGAACCCCGACGCCCCCAUCACCAGCCAAAUUAUCUAACUAAACUCCAAUCACAGCGGGAGACUAAAAUUCCACAAGAUCAGAAUACAGGGAGGCCUGGAUCAGAAGAGGCGAUAUGCAGAUUCAAAUAGCCCCUUGCCUGGGGCACACUACUCUCCUCCCAUCUCUGAAUCGGCCUUGGGAAUUGGACUGCUGUGCGGAGGGAUUCAAGAUUGGAAAUGAAACAAUCGACGCUGAUUGCCGAGCGGCUGUGCGGACGAGAAGACGGUGAGCUGCGCCGCCUGUGUCCCCUGAAUUGCCUGGCACCUCCCUUCCCUAGCCUGGACCUUUAACUGCCACGCUUUCAUCUUGUGAACCACCCUCAAACCUUUCAAUAAAAUCCUUUAUUGCUUUAAACAGUCAAUGGAGUUGCUUGG